Molecule: non-coding RNA, 101 nt
Organism: Caenorhabditis elegans
Lineage: Eukaryota; Metazoa; Nematoda; Chromadorea; Rhabditida; Rhabditidae
Source: Ensembl
AGAUUGCGGGCACGGAUAGCUCUUGACCUGGCAUUGUUAGGGGCGCCGCGGCGAUGGCUGAAGUUGUAGGAAGUGUUGAAUAGGCGCAGGACUUAAUCUCU